RNAcentral lists this small RNA (130 nucleotides) under Serratia marcescens. RNAcentral describes it as "RtT sRNA". It matches the Rfam family "RtT RNA". Rfam says of the family: This family represents a bacterial cis-regulatory element known as RtT RNA. The exact function of RtT is unknown although it is thought that it may be involved in changing the cellular response in relation to amino acid starvation. Lineage: Bacteria; Pseudomonadati; Pseudomonadota; Gammaproteobacteria; Enterobacterales; Yersiniaceae. RNAcentral also lists the same sequence under 7 other names. The record is from RNAcentral.
UUUUCGUCUGUACGUGAGAGGAUGAGAAUCUCCGAAGGAGGUUUGAGCCGAACGUAGUGAGACCACGUUGCUUUAGCAACGGCCCGCAGGGCAAGCAUCGAAGAUGCGCAUAAUCCUCUCAUGCCGACCA